AAAAUAAAAUCAGCAACAUGAACAAGAAAUGGUGUGACAUACAUUGUCACACCUCCAAAGAUCACAUCAUAUCUCACAAUCCAGAAAGGCAAAAAUCACAAACCAUAUACCAAAAGAUCACUUAAGAUGUCUAGAUCAUGCAUAUAAAAUUUCAGCUCCAUAGGAUCAAGCAUCAUGAUUUCACAAUCAAAAUGGUAAAGCAUAGGCAAAUAGCAUACAUGAACAAAACCAUUAGACCAAAAUAAAAACAGGCCGUGCACAACUUUUG
RNAcentral lists this long non-coding RNA (268 nucleotides) under Lathyrus oleraceus (garden pea). Its description in RNAcentral is "Pisum sativum (pea) long non-coding RNA (PSAT_LNC037526)". The record is from RNAcentral. Lineage: Eukaryota; Viridiplantae; Streptophyta; Magnoliopsida; Fabales; Fabaceae.